This 414-nucleotide ribosomal RNA is filed under the name uncultured bacterium. RNAcentral describes it as "bacterial SSU rRNA". It matches the Rfam family "Bacterial small subunit ribosomal RNA", at positions 29 to 486 of the family's 1533-position model. The record is from RNAcentral.
AACGAACGCUGGCGGCAGGCCUAACACAUGCAAGUCGAGCGCAGUCCUUCGGGACCGAGCGGCGGACGGGUUAGUAACGCGUGGGAAUGUACCCAGAUCUACGGAAUAGCCUUUGGAAACGAAGAGUAAUACCGUAUACGCCCUUCGGGGGAAAGAUUUAUCGGAUUUGGAUCAGCCCGCGUUAGAUUAGAUAGUUGGUGGGGUAACGGCCUACCAAGUCUACGAUCUAUAGCUGGUUUUAGAGGAUGAUCAGCAACACUGGGACUGAGACACGGCCCAGACUCCUACGGGAGGCAGCAGUGGGGAAUCUUAGACAAUGGGCGCAAGCCUGAUCUAGCCAUGCCGCGUGUGUGAUGAAGGCCUUAGGGUCGUAAAGCACUUUCGCCAGAGAUGAUAAUGACAGUACCUGGUAAA